This 205-nucleotide unclassified non-coding RNA is filed under the name Hevea brasiliensis (rubber tree). Lineage: Eukaryota; Viridiplantae; Streptophyta; Magnoliopsida; Malpighiales; Euphorbiaceae. The record is from RNAcentral.
GCAUCCCCAUGGAUUUCAGUGAUCAAGUGACACACAUCAUAAGUUUUUUGAUUAGUUUCCAAAUUUUUUGCUGCACAUAUAUUCUUCAAAGCAAGAUUAAGAGUGUGCACAACACAAGGAGUCCAAUAAAUAUGUGGAAACAUUCCCUCAAUGAUUUCUCCAGCACCUUUACAAUUUGAAGCAUUAUCAGUAAUGACUUGUACCA